RNAcentral lists this transfer RNA (76 nucleotides) under Coprothermobacter sp. Its description in RNAcentral is "tRNA-Asn". It matches the Rfam family "tRNA". Rfam says of the family: Transfer RNA (tRNA) molecules are approximately 80 nucleotides in length. Their secondary structure includes four short double-helical elements and three loops (D, anti-codon, and T loops). Further hydrogen bonds mediate the characteristic L-shaped molecular structure. tRNAs have two regions of fundamental functional importance: the anti-codon, which is responsible for specific mRNA codon recognition, and the 3' end, to which the tRNAs corresponding amino acid is attached (by aminoacyl-tRNA synthetases). tRNAs cope with the degeneracy of the genetic code in two manners: having more than one tRNA (with a specific anti-codon) for a particular amino acid; and 'wobble' base-pairing, i.e. permitting non-standard base-pairing at the 3rd anti-codon position. The record is from RNAcentral. RNAcentral also lists the same sequence under 8 other names. Lineage: Bacteria; Pseudomonadati; Coprothermobacterota; Coprothermobacteria; Coprothermobacterales; Coprothermobacteraceae.
UCCCCGAUAGCUCAACGGUGGUAGCACUGGACUGUUAAUCCGGGGGUUGUAGGUUCGAGUCCUACUCGGGGAGCCA